GAAAUGCGAUAAGCAAUGCGAAUUGCAGAAUUCCGCGAGUCAUCAGAUCUUUGAACGCAGCCCGCGCCGGGGAGAUAUCUCCUCGGCAUGUUUGUUUCAGUGUGUUUGGUUGACUUCACACAGCUCAAUGCGAUUGAAACCUCCCGUAAAAAAAGAGGGGUCUCUCGUGAAAAGCGAAGGCGUGGGACUUUACCUUCGCCAACGAUGUGGUCACUGUUCUACAGUGAAUUCGUUGGGCUCAUCGAGGCAAGUCAUUUAAUGUACGUCUUAACCAAAAACACAAAAAAUCUUCAAUCUGCACCUGAAAUCAAGCAAGAACACCCGCUGAACUUAA
Molecule: unclassified non-coding RNA, 334 nt
Filed under: uncultured fungus
Lineage: Eukaryota; Fungi
Description: sequence contains ITS1
Rfam family: 5.8S ribosomal RNA (bases 1-105)
Source: RNAcentral